This 959-nucleotide ribosomal RNA is filed under the name Microbacterium sp. L1Cb. RNAcentral's name for it is "bacterial SSU rRNA". It matches the Rfam family "Bacterial small subunit ribosomal RNA", at positions 381 to 1352 of the family's 1533-position model. Lineage: Bacteria; Bacillati; Actinomycetota; Actinomycetes; Micrococcales; Microbacteriaceae. The record is from RNAcentral.
GCCUGAUGCAGCAACGCCGCGUGAGGGACGACGGCCUUCGGGUUGUAAACCUCUUUUAGCAGGGAAGAAGCGAAAGUGACGGUACCUGCAGAAAAAGCGCCGGCUAACUACGUGCCAGCAGCCGCGGUAAUACGUAGGGCGCAAGCGUUAUCCGGAAUUAUUGGGCGUAAAGAGCUCGUAGGCGGUUUGUCGCGUCUGCUGUGAAAACUGGAGGCUCAACCUCCAGCCUGCAGUGGGUACGGGCAGACUAGAGUGCGGUAGGGGAGAUUGGAAUUCCUGGUGUAGCGGUGGAAUGCGCAGAUAUCAGGAGGAACACCGAUGGCGAAGGCAGAUCUCUGGGCCGUAACUGACGCUGAGGAGCGAAAGGGUGGGGAGCAAAACAGGCUUAGAUACCCUGGUAGUCCACCCCGUAAACGUUGGGAACUAGUUGUGGGGUCCAUUCCACGGAUUCCGUGACGCAGCUAACGCAUUAAGUUCCCCGCCUGGGGAGUACGGCCGCAAGGCUAAACUCAAGGAAUUGACGGGGACCCCCACAAGCGGCGAACAUGCGGAUUAAUUCGAUGCAACCCGAAAACCCUUACCAAGGCUUGAAAUUUACGAAAACGGGCUUAAAAUAUUCAACUUUUUGAACCCUCGUUAAACAGGUGGUGCAUGGUUGUCGUCAGCUCGUGUCGUGAGAUGUUGGGUUAAGUCCCGCAACGAGCGCAACCCUCGUUCUAUGUUGCCAGCACGUAAUGGUGGGAACUCAUGGGAUACUGCCGGGGUCAACUCGGAGGAAGGUGGGGAUGACGUCAAAUCAUCAUGCCCCUUAUGUCUUGGGCUUCACGCAUGCUACAAUGGCCGGUACAAAGGGCUGCAAUACCGUAAGGUGGAGCGAAUCCCAAAAAGCCGGUCCCAGUUCGGAUUGAGGUCUGCAACUCGACCUCAUGAAGUCGGAGUCGCUAGUAAUCGCAGAUCAG